This 3164-nucleotide long non-coding RNA is filed under the name Capsicum annuum. RNAcentral's name for it is "long non-coding RNA (CANN_LNC021366)". The record is from RNAcentral. Lineage: Eukaryota; Viridiplantae; Streptophyta; Magnoliopsida; Solanales; Solanaceae.
AAUAUCUGGGGUGGAAAAUAUUAAUAACCACUUCGUAAGUUUCAACACUAUAAGAGACGCAACUCAAGUAAGUUUCCUUACAUCCUUGUUUUCCCUAAAUUUCACUGUAUAUUCAACUGGCAUUAUAUGCUUGUUUUUCCUCUUUGUCUUUAGACGAUCCAGUUACAAGCUGACUCAAGUCUAGUUAUAGUCUAGUUAAGAAUUUACAACCAAUAAAAGUUGCCACAUAUUUAAUAGGAUUUCUAAUUAUGAUUUUAAAAAAUUCUUUUAAUUACGAGGGUAUAUUUGAGCCACAAAGGUGGAUGGAGGGGUAGUUUUGAACCAAUAGAUAAACGGAGGGUAUUCUUGAGCCAAUUUCAAUAGUUGAAGGGUAUUUCUAACCCUUUUUCAUUUUUUUAAGUUAUCAGGCCAGGUAACCGGUGGACCUGGUCCGAUUUACUGGUCCUGUCAAUGUAGAUGACCCAUCCCGGUACUGGCAGCCCAGCAACCCGAAGGCCCACCGGGCCGGAUCAAAUUGGGUCGGGCCACCUACACAGGCCGAGCUUAAAUUUGUCGGAACGGGCCAACCCUUGACAGGUUUACCUUGAGCUAAUAAUUGCCACCUGAAAAUAUGUAAUGAUCAUCAAAUCAAAUAGAAGUAAAGGCUUUUUUAGAUCUUUUAUGCAUAAAAAUAAAAAUUUCUUAUAAAAAGCAAAAAAAUUAUUUUUUUCCCAAUUAAAGGUGAGAGUCUGAAAGAUGUUUAUUUUUUAAGUCAUCCUUUCUAAUCUACGUGACAAUGUCAAAAGCUAAUUAAAGUAUUUAAAUAAUAAUUAGAUCAAAUUAAAAAAUUGCUAUGCAUGUCAAAGAACGAGACGCAUCCUGAACCCAACUACAUAAAUGGUACUCUUAUAAUUAAAAUCAUUUUUCUUCUUUCGGGAUAUAAAUAUUUCCUUUAAAAAGUUUAUUUUUUUAUUUAUGUUGCCAUGACCGUUUUAAGAUUAUAAAAUUAUAAACAACAAGAAUAAUAUAUUAGAGUAAUUUUAUAAAGUGAGGUUUGAGGAGGGUAGAGUAUAGUAGUUUAUACCUCUAUCACAGAAGCAAGACAGAGAGUUAUUUUAGAGACUCCCAACUCAAGACCAAAGCUGUCGUAAUAGGAGUACAAGAAACAAGAGACAGUAACAAGAUAAAACUACCACAAAAUAAUACUCCAUCUCUCUGUCCAACAACAACAGACAUUAACAAAACUCCAAAAUCAUUUAAACCAUAUAACUCAUAUCCUUAAAGAUAAAUGGAAAGUUUUAAAUAAAUGGUGUGUUCGAUAUGUAGAAAUUGUAUUAGGAAAGAAUUUUUCUAGUAAAAGAAGUUGUUUCUUACUUAUUUUUUUAUGUUUGAUACACAAAUGAAAAAAAUUAAUUUUUUUUUGCAUAUAUCGGCAAAACAAUAAGUGCUCAUUUGACCAUGAAUUUUUUUUCACUUUAUUCUGAAAACAACUCUAAGUUGGUGUUGGUAUUUUUGAUAAGUUUACUUGAGGCUCUCUCUUUCUAAAACCCUUGCAUCAAACCCUAAUUAUUGUAACUCAUCAAAAUCAUGGCCUUAAUGGCUGUUGGCCAGCCUCCAGUGGUGGAGGUUGAUCCAACAACCUCAUUGGGAGGGGAGGAACCUCCUAAGAUUUCAUAUAUCAAUACUAUCUAGCCACUAAAACUAUAAUACAAACCAAUUCCAUUAAAAUAGAUUGCCUACCUACAUGGUCAACCUAGGAUCAUUUGGGAGGAGGAAGAGGUCAAUCAGAUAAUUAUCAAUGAAGAUUUGCAGUAGGCAGUGAUAGGGAAGUUCUCAUAUGGAUGGAUAGAGAUUCAAGAUUUGAGAAAGCUAAUCCCUAAACAAUGCGAAUUGAAAGGGGAAGUGAAUAUUGGGAUCCUUAAUAAUAUACAUAUUUUAAUUAGAGCUUCAAGGCUGGAUAAUUAUGUAAAUUUAUUAUCUAAGCCCAAAUUUUAUAUCACACAUAACUAUUGGUCAUACACAAUGCACACACUCAAGUGGGACCCUUUUUUGAUCAUGUGGAGGAAACUUCUAUUGCAAUUGCAUGGAUUUCAUCCCUUCGUUGCCUAGAUUUUUUUUGGAAAGAAAGCAAUAUUCUCAGUGGUAGCAGCAGUAGGAAAACCAUUACAAGUUAACUUAGCUACACAGAAUAAAAGAAGACCUAGCUAGGAAAAGGUCAAAGUAGAAGUAGAUAAUUUUUCAAAAAGGAUCAAUGUUGGGAUGCAACUAAAAGUGGAGAGAUCAAGGAGAAAUGUAUUAACAUUAAAUAUGACUAUGUGGCAAAAUUUUCACUACCCAAAAGCCAAGGAUCAUGAUGGUACUCAUUGCGUGAGCCUUGACGAGUAAGCCUUACACCCAAACUGAUCCACAAAAGAAAAAAGACAGAAAUACCUGCAGGGUAAGGCUUUUAGAAAAUAGUCGAAUUAGAUAAGUAUAUUAAAUAUGGAAAGAAUAUAAUCAACAAUGCAAUCAUAACUCACAAAACCUAAUGUCAAUAGUAUAAGAAUGUAUCUAGUACAACUAGAAUCCAAGUGAAAUACAUAAGAUAUUCAAAAUACAAGAGAAACUCUGUUCCUGACACGAAAGUAAUGACAUAGUCUAUAAGAAAGGUAGUAUAAUGCAUCCGAACAUCUGGAAAUCAAGCAGUACGAAGGCACCAGAUAUCACCUGAAUCAACCAAGUUGGAGAGCACUUGAACUAGGACCUACAUCAAAAGUGUCACGACCCAAAUGGCUAUGAGUUCCACCCACACUAAUCUUCUUAUGGGAGAAACAUCUAACCAAACUAUUACCCAAAAACUUAGUCAAUAUUAAGAUGAUAUUAUUAUAAAAUUCAACAUAAUAACAAUAAUCCAGGACUAAUCAUUAUUAAUGUGGAAGUUGAUGUGUGAGCAAAAGCUAACAUAUUUAAUUCUUUUUAGCUCAAAAUAAUUGUGAAUUCUGAAGCAACUCUUGUUGUUUUGAUGUGUUUGCUCAUGAUAUUGCAGUAAAAGGGUGGAGGAAUAAAAAAAAACAACAAUGGAGCAAAAGAGUUGAAAAUCUGAGCAAAAGACAAGAAAUCAUGGCUGACGACCUCCGUGAUACGUCGUCAGCCUUGUGAUAGCUUAUCAGUAUUGGCGUCAACCUUAACUAGAAACUUGAAGCCUG